UACAGAGGGGGCAAGCGUUAUUCGGAAUUAUUGGGCGUAAAGGGCGCGUAGGCGGCCUGGCAAGUGGAAGGUGAAAUCCCUCGGCUUAACCGAGGAACUGCCCUCCAAACUGCUUGGCUUGAGUCCGGGAGAGGUGAGUGGAAUUCCCAGUGUAGCGGUGAAAUGCGUAGAUAUUGGGAGGAACACCUGUGGCGAAAGCGGCGCACUGGACCAUAACUGACGCUGAUGCGCGAAAGCUAGGGGAGCAAACAGG
This 253-nucleotide ribosomal RNA is filed under the name uncultured bacterium. RNAcentral's name for it is "partial 16S ribosomal RNA". It matches the Rfam family "Bacterial small subunit ribosomal RNA", at positions 524 to 776 of the family's 1533-position model. The record is from RNAcentral.